CCUACGGGUGGCAGCAGUGGGGGAUAUUGGACAAUGGGGGAAACCCUGAUCCAGCGACGCCGCGUGAGUGAAGAAGUAUUUCGGUAUGUAAAGCUCUAUCAGCAGGGAAGAAAGAAAUGACGGUACCUGAGUAAGAAGCCCCGGCUAACUACGUGCCAGCAGCCGCGGGAAUACGUAGGGGGCAAGCGUUAUCCGGAAUUACUGGGUGUAAAGGGAGCGUAGACGGUAAUGCAAGUCUGGAGUGAAAGGCGGGGGCCCAACCCCCGGACUGCUGUGGAAACUGGGUAACUGGAGUGCGUGAGAGGUAGGCGGAAGGCGUGGUGUAGCGGUGAAAUGCGUAGAUAUUAGGAGGAACUCCAGUGGCGAAGGCAGCCUGCUGGACUGUAACUGACGUUGAGGCUCGAAAGCGUGGGGAGCAAACAGGAUUAGAUACCCUAGUAGUC
This 443-nucleotide ribosomal RNA is filed under the name uncultured bacterium. Its description in RNAcentral is "partial 16S ribosomal RNA". It matches the Rfam family "Bacterial small subunit ribosomal RNA", at positions 338 to 795 of the family's 1533-position model. The record is from RNAcentral.